CUGGCGGAUGCUUUACACAUGCAAGUCGAACGAGUACUUUUUACGAGUGGCGAACGGGUGAGUAACGCGUGGGAACCUACCUUGAGGUAAAGAAUAACUACAGGAAACUGUAGCUAAUACUUUAUGUGCCCUACGGGGGAAAAAUUUAUUGCCUUUUGAGGGGCCCGCGUCAGAUUAGCUUGUUGGUAAGGUAAUGGCUUACCAAGGCUAUGAUCUGUAGCUGGUUUGAGAGGAUGAUCAGCCACAUUGGGACUGAGACACGGCCCAGACUCCUACGGGAGGCAGCAGUGGGGAAUCUUGGACAAUGGGGGAAACCCUGAUCCAGCAAUUCCGCGUGAAUGAUGAAGGCCUUAGGGUUGUAAAGUUCUUUUAGUAAGGAAGAUGAUGACGGUACUUACAGAAAAAGCUCCGGCUAACUCCGUGCCAGCAGCCGCGGUAAUACGGAGGGGGCAAGCGUUGUUCGGAAUUACUGGGCGUAAAGAGCGAGCAGGUGGUUCAUUAAGUCAAUUGUGAAAGCUCAAGGCUUAACCUUGAAAUUGCUUUUGAUACUGAUGAACUAGAGUUUGGGAGAGGAUAGUGGAAUUCUAAGUGUAGAAGUGAAAUUCGUAGAUAUUUAGAGGAACACCGACAGCGAAGGCAACUAUCUGGCCCUUUACUGACACUCAGAAGCGAAAGCUUGGGUAGCAAACAGGAUUAGAUACCCUGGUAGUCCAUGCUGUAAACGAUGAGUGCUAGAUGUUAGAAGUUUACUUCUAGUAUCGAAGCUAACGCGUUAAGCACUCCGCCUGGG
RNAcentral lists this ribosomal RNA (790 nucleotides) under uncultured Alphaproteobacteria bacterium. RNAcentral's name for it is "bacterial SSU rRNA". It matches the Rfam family "Bacterial small subunit ribosomal RNA", at positions 36 to 877 of the family's 1533-position model. The record is from RNAcentral. Lineage: Bacteria; Pseudomonadati; Pseudomonadota; Alphaproteobacteria.